UCCCUGGUAGCUUAGCUGGUAAAGAAUCCGCCUGAGGUGCGGGAGACCUGGGUUUGAUCCCUGGGUUGGGAA
RNAcentral lists this transfer RNA (72 nucleotides) under Bos taurus (domestic cattle). It matches the Rfam family "tRNA". From Rfam's summary of the family: Transfer RNA (tRNA) molecules are approximately 80 nucleotides in length. Their secondary structure includes four short double-helical elements and three loops (D, anti-codon, and T loops). Further hydrogen bonds mediate the characteristic L-shaped molecular structure. tRNAs have two regions of fundamental functional importance: the anti-codon, which is responsible for specific mRNA codon recognition, and the 3' end, to which the tRNAs corresponding amino acid is attached (by aminoacyl-tRNA synthetases). tRNAs cope with the degeneracy of the genetic code in two manners: having more than one tRNA (with a specific anti-codon) for a particular amino acid; and 'wobble' base-pairing, i.e. permitting non-standard base-pairing at the 3rd anti-codon position. Lineage: Eukaryota; Metazoa; Chordata; Mammalia; Artiodactyla; Bovidae. The record is from Rfam by way of RNAcentral. RNAcentral also lists the same sequence under 1 other name.